RNAcentral lists this long non-coding RNA (2396 nucleotides) under Pavo cristatus (Indian peafowl). RNAcentral describes it as "lncRNA (ENSPSTG00000005657.1)". The record is from RNAcentral. Lineage: Eukaryota; Metazoa; Chordata; Aves; Galliformes; Phasianidae.
AUGGCUCCCUUAAGCUGCAUGUCCGUGCAUGCAGGGAUGACGAAAGGCCCCGGGGGCAGCGCUGUGACACUGCGGCUCUCAGUGCAUCAGGACACGGGCAGGGCUGCGAGGCCAGAGCCGCACCGUGCACAGACCGCCGCUUCUCGGCUGGAGCGCGGGUCUGCCUCCGCUGAAACCCGCUGGAAGCCAAACCUCUGGACUAAAAUAGAGUUUUCUCCCCAAAUGCUACAAGUUGGAAGGGCCGCGGACGCAGGAAGCGAGCCGCCCUUCUCACUUACUGCACACACAACUUACAGACACACUGAACUUGCAGCGCAGACGCGCGCAGCGCUUCUCACCGCUCACCGCCCCCGGCCGCAAUGCCGAGCUUCCCCCGCCCCGGCCCCAGCCCGGCCCGCAGCGCGCCGCCCGCCCCGGCUCCUCCUCCCACCGCCAUGCGGCCGCCAUCAGCUGGGCCCCGCGGCCCGCACAGCCCGCCGGAGGACAGCGGCGGAGCACCCGCAGCACGCAUGGGUUGCGGCGGAUUUGCCCGCUGGGCUCGGAGGGCGGCAGCAGAGGCAGAGCAGCCCUGGGAGCGGCCUCACCUGCCGCCCGGCAGCACCACCUCCCCGCACCGCGCGGCCUUCCGGGCCCGGCCCGUGUGCUCCUGGGCGGGGGGAGGGAGUCCGGACGCUGAUUGCCUCCACCCUCAGCUGCUCCAGGGCCCGUUUGGGCCUCUUUGUAAACAUUCCCCACAAACCCACGGGGGCCGAGAGGAGACCGCUGAGGUUUGGCUGCUGCAGCGAGCUGCUCGUUUGGGAGCAGAGCACGAGAUUUGUUGUGCGGCCGAGUUCGCCAUUUAAAGCUUUACCUGCGCCCGUCCCUUGCUUAGUGCUGGUGUGGAGAUGUUUUACAGUCCAGUAUGGUGAUUAAAAGGAAGGAGUGUGGAGGAGGUUUGUAAACCAACCAUUCUAAUAGUCAGUGUCAGUGAUCCUCCUUUCCAUAACAAUCAUCAUUUCUUUGCCUUCAGGAUGCCAACAUAAGGAUGAGCUCUGCAGGUCAGUCUGUGCCGUUCCAGUUGAGGAGGAGCGGCCUAUUGACCAGCAUGGACAUGGCAGUUGUUAGCACUGACAACAGUGCAGCUUGAAGAGAAAACUUAAUUAGCAUGGAAUUCCCUGAAGGACUGCUUCCCAGUAGACUAUGAAUACAUAAUGUCAUUAUAUAAUUAAAUACUUACAGAUUUAUGCAAUCUUAAAACAUAUAGGAAAUUCUCGGGCACAUCCACAUAGGAGAUGUGAGUAGAGUCCCUUUACCUCUGCUCUGUAUAUCUGAGCUGUGAUGGGAGGUGUAUAUAGCUGCUUAAUGCCUGAAAUUGCGUCCUUGCCAUAUUCUCCCCUCCACUCCUGGGGUUGGGUCAGGUGGAGCGAGUCAGAUUGUGCUGGCACCUCCCCGAUGAGAAGUGGGUGACAGGAGAAAGGGUAAAGCAGGAUAUCUGCGUGAGUUCCAAUUAACAGCGUGAGGUUCAUUAAUUCCUUCCAAGUAUUAGUGAAUGUUUACAAUUUUAAGUGCUUCGGAAAUUUCAGUCUGGUAUCUUAUCUCUUAAAAAUGAAUCUACUUUACUUUGAAAAUAUUGUAGUGCCAGAUUAAAGGGAAACAGUGCUGAAGUGAAUGAAAGCACUCUGUGCUGCUUCGCACACUGAAAAGUAGCCACUUCCUGAAACUUUAUGUGGAAACCUCCAGAAAAUACACAUAAAUCUUUUCUAACUCCCCUCCCAGGAUGAUCUCCUUAUUGCCUGAAGCAUAAAAAUUGAUUAUCUUUAAUAUGAUUUUAGUUUGCAUUAUAACAGGUCUGAAAAGGGAAUGGGAGAUGUCUGAACCCUCUUAGAACCAAGCAUUUGGGGUUUUGGCAGUGAGUCCACAACUUGUCUGUUUGCAGUAUAAAGAAGAGUAGGAAUUCGAACUGCACUGUGUUCUAACUUAAUCAAAGUGUCAUAUUCUUCUGUUAGCAAGUGAUGUAGGAAGGGUGCUCCUGAGCUCUCUGCACUCUGCCCCAAGAAUUACGAACAUCUUAUUCAAAUCUCCUCUAAUCCCUCAGCUGACCAGAUUUUAAUCUUUACUAUUUCACCGGUAUAAUUCCAACCACUGAACUUUUGAAUUCCCUCCUAUCCUUCAGUGGAUAGGAAAUGGCUGGGAAGACUAUUCCUAAUUAGAUAUAUCACUGACCAAUGAUAAGAGUGUCAAUAGAAGAUAUAAACCCCCUUUUUCUGUAGAUUCUGGCCUGUUCCUGCUGCUUUACUUGGUAUAUCUUGUCAGGCUUCCUUCUUAAAUUAUCUGUAAGUGCCACUGCUUGUUAAUUUUCUUGCUAGGAGUCUCCAGCAUUCAGCAUGACACAUCCGGUUCUCUAAUACUGAAGCUUG